UGUAACCUAUCUGAAAGAUUUAUAAAUAUGGGGUGCUUCUUUGCACUCUCUCUUCCGUUUUCAUAGUACUACGUUUCGUUUUAAUUACAGUUUCUUAAAUGAGUUAAAUUCCUGUCCAGAAGCAAAUCGACUUUGUGUAACUGGAUUAACAGCAGUAUCAGUGGACAUAAGGAAGAAUGGUUUUAUCACAUAUAGAGGGUUUUGUAGCUUUCUUGCUCACGACGUUUGUGGUGCUUGCGGUAGCAGUCCUUAUGUAUUGUCCUCUAAUCGGUACGCUGUUUCAAUGGAUAAAUGGCAAUGGAAAUCGUCCACCAAAUGCUGAUGGCAAUAACCGGGAUCCAUCAAGGUCUGAAUCGGAUAAAGAUUCUUCGUCUAAAAAAGAGUAAGGAUUCUCAGUUCUAAGUAAAAUUGCUUUUGAUUGGAUGAAGGCUCUUCUGUCAAGCAAAGCAGAGAUUCUUAAGCUAAUAUGAUGAUCAUUGAACUAAUCAAAUAUUCUGGACCGUAUUAAGACUAUCUUGCUGAAUUGUGUGACUCUUUUGGACAAUCGCAUAAAUAUUCCCGAUCAGUCCGAUUCUGAUCAUUUUGCUGGAUUAUAAAGUAUCGAUCUUCGAUAAAACUGGAGACGAAAACCUGCACUGGAUCUUCCAUUGAAGAACUUGGGAUUUCAAAUGUCAUGGACGCAGUAAAGCGGCUGUGAAUUCGGAAUAUCUUCCGAAGAAACAUUUAAACUUAUGAAACUUCUUUUUAAUAUUUUGCAUAAUUUUAAGCAUUAUUAAUAAUUAUUAUUGAAUUAAAACUAAAUCAAUGCUAA
Long non-coding RNA from Stegodyphus dumicola, 811 nucleotides. RefSeq lists it as uncharacterized. Lineage: Eukaryota; Metazoa; Arthropoda; Arachnida; Araneae; Eresidae. The record is from RefSeq and is a predicted model, not a curated record.